GAUGAACGCUAGCGACAGGCUUAACACAUGCAAGUCGAGGGGCAUCAUGAGGUAGCAAUACCUUGAUGGCGACCGGAGCACGGGUGAGUAACGCGUAUGCAACCUGCCCGAUACCGGGGUAUAGCCCAUGGAAACGUGGAUUAACACCCCAUAGUACUUUUAUCCUGCCUGGGAUGGGAGUUAAAUGUUCAAGGUAUCGGAUGGGCAUGCGUCCUAUUAGUUAGUUGGCGGGGUAACAGCCCACCAAGACGAUGAUAGGUAGGGGUUCUGAGAGGAAGGUCACCCACAGUGGAACUGCGACACGGUCCAAACUCCUACGGGAGGCAGCAGUGAGGAAUAUUGGUCAAUGGACGUAAGUCUGAGCCAGCCAAGUCGCGUGAGGGAAGACUGCCCUAUGGGUUGCAAACCUCUUUUAUAAGGGAAGAAUAAGUUCUACGUGUAGAAUGAUGCCUGUACCUUAUGAAUAAGCAUCGGCUAACUCCGUGCCAGCCGCCGCAGUAA
This 501-nucleotide ribosomal RNA is filed under the name uncultured bacterium. RNAcentral's name for it is "partial 16S ribosomal RNA". It matches the Rfam family "Bacterial small subunit ribosomal RNA", at positions 28 to 523 of the family's 1533-position model. The record is from RNAcentral.